RNAcentral lists this unclassified non-coding RNA (391 nucleotides) under soil metagenome. Its description in RNAcentral is "partial contains 5.8S ribosomal RNA, internal transcribed spacer 2, and large subunit ribosomal RNA". The stretch from base 1 to 122 matches the Rfam family "5.8S ribosomal RNA", at positions 35 to 154 of the family's 154-position model. The record is from RNAcentral.
GAUGAAGAACGCAGCGAAAUGCGAUACUUGGUGUGAAUUGCAGAAUCCCGUGAACCAUCGAGUCUUUGAACGCAAGUUGCGCCCGAAGCCAUUAGGCCGAGGGCACGCCUGCCUGGGCGUCACACGUCGUUGCCCCCCCAUCUACUCCUUCGGGAUUGCGGGGGGCGGAUGAUGGCCUCCCGUGCGCCUCGUCGCGCGGUUGGCAUAAAUGCCAAGUCCUCGGCGACGCACGCCACGACAAUCGGUGGUUGCGAAACCUCGGUUGCCCGUCGUGUGCGGUCGUCGCGCAUCGAGGGCUCGAAAAAAUUGCCGGGAUCUGUUUCGGCUUUCAACGCGACCCCAGGUCAGGCGGGGUUACCCGCUGAAUUUAAGCAUAUCAAUAAGCGGAGGA